GCUCAAGGUCUGAAUGGGACUUGCGGGGGCUGAUGGCUGAGUCCUCCCUUUCGUUCUUCCCACAGGGAGGGGGAAGCUUGGCCCAGCUCCGCCAGCCCGGUGUUACCGACUUUUCCCCCAUCAGGUGGAUCAAGCGCGGCCCCUCGCAAGCCUUAAAAGGUGCAGCGGGCGGUGGCUCUCCGCCGCGACCCUGGAGGGAGGCCUUGCGGGUCGACGCAGCGGCUUGCAGCGGGCGCAGCUCCGAGCAUGCGCGGCGGCUGUGUGCCCGCCCGCUCGGCACCGCCCUCGGGCUCGGUCCUCCUCCCGCCGCGGCCUGUAGGCUCCCGGAGCAUCCGGGGCUGAUCGCGGAGGAAGAAGCCCUUCACUGAUGUGUCUUCUUGAGCUGUGAUCUUCUCUACAGGAGUGAAGUUUAGCAGAGGUAUCUAAUGAAGAGGAAUCUGAACAUAUCAGCUGAGAAAGGAAAGGGAUUGGGAGAAGACCCCAGAUGUCAUAAGGCAAAUAGAGAAUGAGGCCUUCUCCAUGUGGAGUCAGAGGAGACCCUCCUACACCAGAGGAAAAGAUCUCAGGCUUUUUAAGUUAUUUUCCAUCUUGCCACCUACAAAUCUGAAAUCUAAAGUAAUUGGAUCUCCUUUUAAUCAACAACAAAAGAUGCCUGCACUACAGCUGUUUUUCAUGAAUAUCAUUUUUGAAAAAUUUU
Phacochoerus africanus (Common warthog) is the source of this 697-nucleotide long non-coding RNA. RefSeq lists it as uncharacterized. The record is from RefSeq and is a predicted model, not a curated record. The transcript has 3 exons. NCBI's taxonomy places the organism in Eukaryota, Metazoa, Chordata, Mammalia, Artiodactyla, Suidae.